Hydra vulgaris (swiftwater hydra) is the source of this 471-nucleotide long non-coding RNA. RefSeq lists it as uncharacterized. The record is from RefSeq and is a predicted model, not a curated record. Lineage: Eukaryota; Metazoa; Cnidaria; Hydrozoa; Anthoathecata; Hydridae.
AAGUUUGAAUUAGAGUAACCUGAGUUCAAAAAUUUCCAUAAAUAUUCUAAAUAUUUCUGGUUUUAUGAGAGUUUCUGGAAAAACAUAAUUUCUCUUUAAGAAGUAAAAUUUUGUCUAUAAAUUUAGAUUGUACUAAAAAUUUCAUUUGUCAUCAAUAUGGUUGAGCAAAAAUUUCCUCUUAAAGAAUGGAUGAUUGGGUUUUCUGUUGCAACUAUAUUAAUAUGUAUUGUACUGCGUAUUUUACAGAGGAAAGGAUUACAGAAAGGGAAAGAGUUGCUUAAUCAAAGACGUUUUGAAGACUCUUAAUCCAUAAAAGAAUGAUAUAUUUAUGGUUUAUGAAGCUCAUAAUCUAGUCAUCAUUCCAAAAUCAAUUUGAUGAUUAUCAUCUGGUGAUAGUUUCCUGAUGACAAAUGAAACUUUCUUUAAUUUUUUUUUUAGUUAACUUCUAAAAAAAGUUUUUUUAUUUUUAAA